This 220-nucleotide ribosomal RNA is filed under the name uncultured eukaryote. Its description in RNAcentral is "partial Bacterial small subunit ribosomal RNA". It matches the Rfam family "Bacterial small subunit ribosomal RNA", at positions 682 to 899 of the family's 1533-position model. The record is from RNAcentral.
UGGAAUGCGCAGAUAUCAGGAGGAACACCAGUGGCGAAGGCGGUUCUCUGGGCCUUUCCUGACGCUGAGGAGCGAAAGCGUGGGGAGCGAACAGGCUUAGAUACCCUGGUAGUCCACGCUGUAAACGGUGGGUACUAGGUGUGGGGUCCAUUCCACGGGUUCCGUGCCGUAGCUAACGCUUUAAGUACCCCGCCUGGGGAGUACGGCCGCAAGGCUAAAA